RNAcentral lists this long non-coding RNA (2436 nucleotides) under Salmo salar (Atlantic salmon). Its description in RNAcentral is "lncRNA (ENSSSAG00000105383.1)". The record is from RNAcentral. Lineage: Eukaryota; Metazoa; Chordata; Actinopteri; Salmoniformes; Salmonidae.
GUGGGAAUUUCCAGACAUGAGUCCUGCGCAUGACUGGGAGCGUGCCUUUCUUGUUUUUCCUUUUUUACUGACGAAGCUAUUGUCCAGUUGAAAAAUGAUCGAUUAUUUAUGACAAAAACAACCUGAGGUUUGAUUAUAAACAUUGUUUGACAUGUUUCUACGAACUUCUAUGGUACUUUUUUGAUUUUUUGUCUGUCUGUCUGUUGUGACCGCGCUUUGUUCCAAUGGAUUACUGAACAAAACGCACAAACAAAACGGAGGUUUUUGGAUAUAAAGAGGGACUUUAUCAAACAAAACUAACAUUUAUUGGGUAACUGGGAGACUUGUGAGUGUAACCAUAUGAAGAUCAUCAAAAGAGUCUAGAACAUCCACCUUCAUUCUGUCUGGAGAAGACUACGUUCAAGAUUACCACCCCUACGUGAACAUUUUAUCUGCUGUAUAGCACAGAAGGACAUGGAGGAGACCGGCCUCUGAGAAAUGAUAUGCAAUUGGGUAUUUAGGGAAUCCCUACAUGCCGCACAACUACGGCAGGGGUACAAGCCAGUCACCUUGUCCAGUCUUCUGCCAUUUAUUUUCGGGGGGACAUGAGUGUCAACCCGAAUAAUUAAGUCCCUGACAUUCCUGGCCUUGUAAUGUGAAAAGAGAGGAGGGUCAGAGAAAAUAUUUUGGCAAGCAGGAUCAGCCAUUCCAAUGCUUCUUUAUCAUUCCCUUGAUAUCAUCACUCAAAGGAAAAUAUAUAGUGGUACAGACACAUUCAUGUUUUUGGAUUUUUUACUUUUAUUCUUUCAGGUUGACCUCUCAUCAAUGGUACGUUCUUUACGGAAAGCAUCAUCAAGCCAUUCUUUAGGGUAUGAGAGGGCCUCAAAAUAUUUUCAUAGUCUAAUUUCUAAAGUCUGUUUUAUGUGCUUCAGUCUCAGAAAUUGUAUGUACGGUAAUCCCUUCUUCAGAAAUGUGGGAUACGCUCUAGAGGUAUGUAGGAUACUGUUCUUGUCUGUAGGCUUUGUAUACAAAGUAGUGGACAAGGACCCUGAGUCAAGGCGUACAAGAGAUCAAGGAAGGUUCUCACCCUGACUAAUCUCGGUUGUGAACUUGAUAUAUUGAACCAUAUCAUUACGGUAAGUGAGAAAAUCAUCAAACACAUUGAGGGGACCAUUCGAAAUGAGAAACACCUUAUCAAUAUCUUUUGAGAAAGGGUUAGGGUUAUUGUGCCAAAAAAACUUGUAUUCCAGAUAACCCUCAAAUAGACAUGCGUAGUCAGGAGAGAAAAUGGAAACCGCUCCCUGUUUUUGUAAAUAGCAACCGUCUUCAAACAAAAAAAGUAACUGGCACAGGAGGUCCAUUGAAAUUUUUGUUUGCGGCUGAUAGGGAGGGGUUGGCAGGCCAGAGUUUGUGGCGGAUCUGGGUGACAGGUUCCAGCACACAGCUGCAGAACUGCAGCCAGACAUCAUGAGAUCUUCCUGAAAUGAGGACAUUCUUUAGAUUUUAUUGCGAAACAUUACAUCCAAUGUUGGUGAGAUGCAUGUCUAAGAACUUUCAACAUUUUCUCCAUAUUUUCAUCAUAACCGAGUGAACAGUUUUAAGGUAAACUAUUCAAAGUUGUAAUUUGUGCAGGAAUACAGUGUAGUGUGCACAAUACAAUGAUAUAAGUAGAUAACUAGAGAAUAUUAAGUACAGUGUAGUAGGAGCCAUAGCAAAGAGUCAGGGUUAAUAUAUUCAACAGUCUUAUGGCUUGGAGGUCUCUGAGCAUGGUGGUGCUACACUUGAUGCUCCAAUAAAGGAGUAGGCAUCUUAUUCUGCAUUCACGGCAUGUCCGGAACUCUUAAAUACAGUAUGUCCUUCCUAAUGGGAAAAAUGCAUGUGAACGCCCCAACUCGGAAUUACGACUAGGAAACUCGUGUAUGAUCUCUUGACCCCGAUGUUUCUCACAUGCUGAACUCUGACGUUAUGCACCACUGCAAAUGGCAACAAACAUGGCCACAAUUUUGGCUGUCAAUGGUGAGAAUGGUUCUUGCAUUCCUUCCGAGCGCGUGAACACUCCAAGUCGUUCCUCCCAAGUAGAUAAUUAUUCCUUCAAUAUCUCCGACAUGACGUGAACGCGGCAUUAGUUUCCAAUUUUAAAUAAUAGGCCUACCUCUAAAGCCGGGCGGACACUACACGUUUUUAGCCUGAUCUACGGACUUCCGAUCAGCUGCAGGCGCAUUUUUCCAAAUCGGCGCAAACCAGGAGUAAAACGUAGCACUGCAGCACAUAAAGUAUAGGCACAUACCGAUUUGCGGUUGAUGGCUCUCACGGGCUCCCAGGCACUCUACAGCACUUAUAGUGUCCUCAUCAUUUUCUAACAGGUUGAAUAUAUUCAACCUCAAUUCUGGGUGACAGGUUCCAGCUCACAGCUGCAGAACUGCAGCCACCCUAAUCUAGCACACCUGAUUCUAAUAA